This 297-nucleotide ribosomal RNA is filed under the name uncultured Pseudomonadota bacterium. RNAcentral's name for it is "uncultured proteobacterium partial 16S ribosomal RNA". It matches the Rfam family "Bacterial small subunit ribosomal RNA", at positions 29 to 351 of the family's 1533-position model. Lineage: Bacteria; Pseudomonadati; Pseudomonadota. The record is from RNAcentral.
AACGAACGCUGGCGGCAGGCUUAACACAUGCAAGUCGAACGCGUGUAGCAAUACACGAGUGGCGCACGGGUGAGUAACGCGUGGAUAUCUGCCUUUUGGUUCGGAAUAACCCCGGGAAACUGGGGCUAAUACCGGAUGGUUCCUUCGGGAUAAAGAUUUAUCGCCAAAAGAUGAGUCCGCGUCCGAUUAGCUAGUUGGUGAGGUAAUGGCUCACCAAGGCGACGAUCGGUAGCUGGUCUGAGAGGACGAUCAGCCACACUGGGACUGAGACACGGCCCAGACUCCUACGGGAGGCAG